UGCUAACUCAGUUAUAUGUUGUUUAGAGUCAAAUAGAGCUAGAUUUUCUAGAGCCUUUAUGAACUUUUCUAAGUACUCAUAUCAUGCACACUGCUGCUGUAAUUCAAACUCAAAUAUCUGCAUUUUCCCUAGCCUUAUUGCUGAUUAGUUUUGGGACUUAUAUCUAUCUUCAAGUACUAAGUCAACUUUCUGGUACAUAUAAUGAUGAGUUUGAUGGAGAAAAUUAGAAUGCUUCUGCCUUCCUUCCACAGGUUUCAUUUUCCUUUAAUGCUUGCUCCUCUAUCCUAAUUUAAUCUAUGGGUGCCUAUAUUGGUUGCGUUAGAAAAGAGGAUUUUCUCUUUUAUCAUUGAUCUUCAAGUUAGUUCUUAAUAUAACUAUAUUAUAAUUCUAAUUUUAACUACAGUGGUAUUAAGUUUUAAAGUGUAUCAAUGCAUGUUGGUUGGUUGCAGAAGACCUUAAAGUCAUCCCAACCCCAAAAUCCAUUUGUUCUGCAUUCUUAUUCUCAUUAUCUUAUUCAAUUCUUUGUAAUAUAGCGAGUCGGUUAAACGAGUGGAUUUUUUUUUCUUCAUCAUUUCAAUUCACUCUUGGAACUCGAGGGAGAAACAACUAAGUGUACCUUUUUUUAUUUAUUUUCCUAAACUUUUCCUCUUUCUCUUCAAUCCUCUUUUUUUCUUGGCAUUUUUGGUGAACAGAUGGUGAGCCAAUUUAGUUGAAGUUUGCAAAUAUUAAUGAAUAAGUUUCAAUUCUAAUAAGAAGUGUUGUAGUGACCUUCUCCAACAACUUGAAAGCGUGUAAUUAUUUACAUUUAGUUUAUGAAAACAUUUGUGAGAGGUCUUUGUGGAUUUUGAUGAUGAGUUAUUUCUAUGACCAAGUCAUUUCUAUCUAAUGUUUGAGCUUUUAUUUUAUAAUUGUUCUUUAACAUUUCAUAUCAGAAUUCGAAUGAUGAUAAUCAUGUUUAAUUUAUUGUUCAGGUUGUCAUUGGAAAGAUGAAUGCUUAGUCCAUAGAGCAAUGUAAGAAGUUUGGGAAUUGGUCGUCGAAUGCCAUACUUUCUGGCUUUUCGAGGAAGAGAUGUUACAACAUUACAUCCAAAUAUGCAAGAACAAUAGACUCAUUAUGUUAAGUGAAAUUAGCCAAUGAAGUUUAUCAAGAAUGUUAGUUGCCACUUAAAUGGACUGAGAAGAUUAAGAACUAUCAUAGAUACUAAUGCGAUAAACAAUUCUUUGAUGAAAUAUUCGAUGUCACCAUGAUCUUUAGAGUUCGGAGGAUUGAGUUUUCAUUACUCUAGCCUCCUAAUCAGGUUUCAUUGUUAUCAUUAUUGAUAUAUUGUCAGGAAACUUGGCAAUAGGAAAACUCAAACACUUUAUUAGAUGUGUUCAUAACUUCUACAAAUUUAUAGUGGAACUCUUUGGAUCAUGAAAAGUUAACUCAUAU
This 1432-nucleotide long non-coding RNA is filed under the name Lotus japonicus. RNAcentral's name for it is "long non-coding RNA (LJAP_LNC000840)". The record is from RNAcentral. Lineage: Eukaryota; Viridiplantae; Streptophyta; Magnoliopsida; Fabales; Fabaceae.